This 538-nucleotide ribosomal RNA is filed under the name uncultured bacterium. RNAcentral's name for it is "bacterial SSU rRNA". It matches the Rfam family "Bacterial small subunit ribosomal RNA", at positions 50 to 571 of the family's 1533-position model. The record is from RNAcentral.
AAUAAUGCGAGUCGAGCGAACAGAUAAGGAGCUUGCUCCUUUGACGUUAGCGGCGGACGGGUGAGUAACACGUGGAUAACCUACCUAUAAGACUGGGAUAACUUCGGGAAACCGGAGCUAAUACCGGAUAACAUAUUGAACCGCAUGGUUCAAUAGUGAAAGGCGGCUUUGCUGUCACUUAUAGAUGGAUCCGCGCCGUAUUAGCUAGUUGGUAAGGUAACGGCUUACCAAGGCAACGAUACGUAGCCGACCUGAGAGGGUGAUCGGCCACACUGGAACUGAGACACGGUCCAGACUCCUACGGGAGGCAGCAGUAGGGAAUCUUCCGCAAUGGGCGAAAGCCUGACGGAGCAACGCCGCGUGAGUGAUGAAGGUCUUCGGAUCGUAAAACUCUGUUAUCAGGGAAGAACAAAUGUGUAAGUAACUGUGCACAUCUUGACGGUACCUGAUCAGAAAGCCACGGCUAACUACGUGCCAGCAGCCGCGGUAAUACGUAGGUGGCAAGCGUUAUCCGGAAUUAUUGGGCGUAAAGCGCGCG